AACAUUGUUUAGAAGUUGUCUGAUUUAUAGAUUAGGACAAAAGUCAUGUUUGUUUAGUAAUUAUCCCAAAUAUGUACAAGCUUUUCUAUUUGGGAGCCUGAAUACUGUUAUGAUAUUCUUAGGACUAUAGAUAGUAUUGUUGAGUGAAUAUGUUUAACUGCUACUUUGUCUCCUAGCAGCUCCUAACAAGUUAACCGACCUCGAUAUGGAAGCAGAGGAGAGGAAAAGGGAGGAAUCAGAGAAGAAGGCUGCGUUGAGGAAGAGGCAAGAAAGAGGCUUUGAAGGUGAAGGAGGCAGGAACUAAACCUGAAGAAGAGAUGGUAAGAGGGAAGAGGGAAGAAGGCUGCCUUCCUAGACAAUGAGAAGAGAGCUUCUCAUCAAUGCUUCUUUUCAAAUCAAAUGGAGGGAAAGUUGUGCAUCUUUGCUUUAUGCUUUCGUUGUGUUUUGAUGGACCAUUAUCCCGUGUGUGUUCUUUUCGCUUCUCUUAUUUGACUGUAUCCCAUUUCGAUAUUCGCUUUUUCAGUUCGACCAACGACAGAAAUAAAAAAAUUAGGCCUUCCAACCAGUGACGAGAUGCAGAGGAAGGAGUUCAUGGCUAAGCACCCAGAAAUGGCAAAGACCAACUAAGGAUUCAAGCAUAUGCCAUCUGUGAAACUUGCUGGAGCAUAUAGUUUUUUGUAGAUGUCUCCACUAUUAAUUUUUCUGUGAUAUCUCUUUGGAGUAGAAAAUGAGUUGAAGAUUGUCUAAUCAUAGCCUCAAGGUUCUAUGUGAAAGUGAAUCCACCUUUUACUGUA
Long non-coding RNA from Salvia splendens (bonfire salvia), 794 nucleotides. RefSeq lists it as uncharacterized. The record is from RefSeq and is a predicted model, not a curated record. Lineage: Eukaryota; Viridiplantae; Streptophyta; Magnoliopsida; Lamiales; Lamiaceae. The transcript has 2 exons.